RNAcentral lists this non-coding RNA (103 nucleotides) under Actinophytocola sp. RNAcentral describes it as "Glycine sequence". It matches the Rfam family "Glycine riboswitch aptamer". Rfam says of the family: This family represents the bacterial glycine riboswitch. Glycine riboswitches usually consist of two metabolite-binding aptamers domains with similar structures in tandem. Lineage: Bacteria; Bacillati; Actinomycetota; Actinomycetes; Pseudonocardiales; Pseudonocardiaceae. RNAcentral also lists the same sequence under 1 other name. The record is from RNAcentral.
AGAUCCCACGCGGGAGAGUCCGAGCGGCCGGUGCGGGUCGGCUCGGCGCCGAAGGAGCAAAUCCUCCCCGGAACCUCUCAGGCACCCGAACCGCGCGGGCGAG